RNAcentral lists this long non-coding RNA (1038 nucleotides) under Felis catus (domestic cat). Its description in RNAcentral is "lncRNA (ENSFCAG00000047197.1)". Lineage: Eukaryota; Metazoa; Chordata; Mammalia; Carnivora; Felidae. The record is from RNAcentral.
UGCUUCCAUUGAUCUGUAAUUAUUAAACAUAAUUAAAAUCAUUUCAAAUCCUUUUAAAUAAUUUAGCCAAUUAAAAUACGUUGACUUUUAUUCAGAACUAUUUUAUUUUAUUUAUUUAUUUAUUUAAAAAAUUUUUUUUAACGUUUUAUUUAUUUUUGAGACAGAGAGAGACAGAGCAUGAACGGGGGAGGGGCAGAGAGAGAGAGGGAGACACAGAAUCGGAAGCAGGCACCAGGCUCUGAGCCAUCAGCCCAGAGCCCAACACGGGGCUCCAACUCAUGGACCGCGAGAUCGUGACCUGAGCUGAAGUCGGACGUUUAACCGACUGAGCCACCCAGGCGCCCCUCAGAACUAUUUUAAAUUGAACCAGACUCUUUUUUUAUUAAAUUCAAAUGAACAUGGCUGUACUUAUAGAUCUCUGUUUAAAUCAGUGUGGAUUCAGUGACAGAAUAUAUGAGCAGUAGAAAAUAGAAAGGAAUUCUAGAGGAAAAAAAAAAAUCUUCCUUUAUAAUUAAUUUAGAGCUUGCCUAACUGAUAUUGCAGGUAGAAUGCUUGCAUGAGGAAUAACCCAGAUCUGAUUAUCAAUCUGAUUACAGUGGCGACCCAAUGUACUUCUGUGGACCUUUCUUCCUCAUUGUAGUGAGCCAAUAGAAGUUUGUCAUUUAAUAUGGCAGACCAUUUGUCAACAUCAUAACUCAGAUUAAUCUUAAGCUGAUUUUGAAGAGGUAAAACCAAAAAUUCUUCUUCUAACUUAUAUGUUGGGUAAUCAUUUAUGUAAGACGUCUCAUAAUUCAGAUUGGGAGAGGAAACCCAAGCUAGGAAUGGAAAUAGUUUCUUUCCCUGUGAUGAGUUCCAGAAACAUGGUAGUCACGCAGCUCAUUUAUGUGGCCAUGCAGUCCUAAUGUGGUACAACUGAGAACCCUAAGAUGGGAAUCACAAGACCUGUACCAUGUCAGUGCAAUGCAUGCACACUGCCAAAUACUGUCCUUUCCAAAGGUACUGUUGACUUUCUGGGAUGAAGAACAUCAAUAACCAUCU